RNAcentral lists this ribosomal RNA (255 nucleotides) under uncultured bacterium. Its description in RNAcentral is "partial 16S ribosomal RNA". It matches the Rfam family "Bacterial small subunit ribosomal RNA", at positions 524 to 777 of the family's 1533-position model. The record is from RNAcentral.
UACGGGGGGGGGUAAGCGUUGUUCGGAAUUACUGGGCGUAAAGGGCUCGUAGGCGGCCAACUAAGUCAUACGUGAAAUCCCUCAGCUUAACUGGGGAACUGCGUGUGAUACUGGAUGGCUUGGAUUUGGGAGAGGGAUGCGGAAUUCCAGGUGUAGCGGUGAAAUGCGUAGAUAUCUGGAGGAACACCGGUGGCGAAGGCGGCAUCCUGGACCAAUAUUGACGCUGAGGAGCGAAAGCCAGGGGAGCAAACGGGG